UUGCCAGCCGCCGCGGUAGAACGUAGGAGACAAACGUUAUCCGGAGUUACUGGGCGUAAAGGGCGUGUAGGCGGUUUGUUAAGUCUGGCGUGAAAGCUCUCGGCUAAACCGGGAGAGGUCGUUGGAUACUGGCAAACUUGAGGAUGGUAGAGGCGUGUGGAAUUCCGGGUGUAGUGGUGAAAUGCGUAGAGAUCCGGAGGAACACCAGUGGCGAAGGCGACACGCUGGGCCGUACCUGACGCUAAAGCGCGACAGCAUGGGGAGCAAACGGGAUUAGAUACCCGAGUAGUCC
RNAcentral lists this ribosomal RNA (292 nucleotides) under uncultured bacterium. RNAcentral describes it as "partial 16S ribosomal RNA". It matches the Rfam family "Bacterial small subunit ribosomal RNA", at positions 505 to 796 of the family's 1533-position model. The record is from RNAcentral.